Long non-coding RNA from Papaver somniferum (opium poppy), 545 nucleotides. RefSeq lists it as uncharacterized. The record is from RefSeq and is a predicted model, not a curated record. NCBI's taxonomy places the organism in Eukaryota, Viridiplantae, Streptophyta, Magnoliopsida, Ranunculales, Papaveraceae. The transcript is spliced from 2 exons.
AUCAUAAGAUAUCAAUAUUCCCUUAAUUCAUCUCUUAGUUAGGAUUUUCAAAAUCUGAUUGUGUGUUCGAUCUUCGAUCAACCACCAAACUAACGGCAAAAAAGAUGAGGAUGCUUCUCUCGCAAGUGUUUCGAUUAUUAUGCUUGAUCCUCCUCUUAUCUCAAGUCGCUGGCAGCAUGGGCAGAGAUGCAGAUAAGCCAAGGCCACAAUCACCAGUUCUUAUAAAAGGGCAGCCUUCACCCCAUCCUUGAAAACAAUAAUGACGCAUGAACUUUCAACAUAUAUAGGGGAGUAAAAGGAUCCUUUUGUCACUGGUUUGAGCCAUUUAAAAUUAAGUUUUAAUUUGCACAAUCUUCAGAAGAAUUAAAUGAAAAGAAGUAAUUGUUAUAGGUUGUUUCUUCCGGUUCUCUUUGAGAAUUUUCCGUUAUUUAUUUAUUUUGUAAUAACUUUUUUCUUUUUUCCGAGAUAAAUGAUAUGAAUUUUAGAUGAUAUUGUAAUUUGUAAAAGUAAAAAGUAAAAACAAAUUUGCUUUGUAUUAUGCAGAA